UACGUAGGGUCCGAGCGUUGUCCGGAAUUACUGGGCGUAAAGCGCGCGCAGGCGGCCCGCGAGGUGUCACGUGAAAGCCCCGGGCUCAACCCGGGAGGGUCGUGGCAAACCGGCGGGCUUGAGGCCGGUAGAGGUGGGUGGAACUCCUGGUGGAGUGGUGAAAUGCGUAGAGAUCAGGAAGAACACCCGUGGCGAAGGCGGCCAACUGGACCAUUACUGACGCUGAGGCGCGAAAGCGUGGGGAGCAAACAGG
RNAcentral lists this ribosomal RNA (253 nucleotides) under uncultured bacterium. RNAcentral describes it as "partial 16S ribosomal RNA". It matches the Rfam family "Bacterial small subunit ribosomal RNA", at positions 524 to 776 of the family's 1533-position model. The record is from RNAcentral.